RNA transcript from Acomys russatus (golden spiny mouse), 2594 nucleotides. It is a transcript of the gene named RAP1 GTPase activating protein, with no coding region annotated. The record is from RefSeq and is a predicted model, not a curated record. NCBI's taxonomy places the organism in Eukaryota, Metazoa, Chordata, Mammalia, Rodentia, Muridae. The transcript is spliced from 26 exons.
GCACACGGGCCCGGGCUGGGGCGGCGUUGCCAAGGUGACCCCGGGCUGGGCAGGCAGUGGGCAGCGGCGACGACACCAUGAGCAGCCGGAAGCGCAGCUUCACCUUCGGCGCCUAUGGAGGGGUGGACAAAUCCUUCUCCCUUCGACAGAGUGUGUGGAGGAGUGAUGGAGCCAAGCAGAACUUCCCGCAUGCACUAGACCUGUUACUAGUGGACUCAGUUCCCUCAUACCCUGCUUCACCCUACCCUAAGAACACAGAUCUGUUUGAGAUGAUUGAAAAGAUGCAGGGCAGCAGGAUGGAUGAACAGCGAUGCUCCUUCCCGCCACCCCUCAAAACGGAGGAGGACUACAUUCCCUACCCAAGUGUUCAUGAGGUUUUGGGGCGAGAAGGGCCUUUCCCCCUCAUCCUACUGCCCCAGUUUGGGGGCUACUGGAUUGAAGGCACCAACCAUGAAAUCACCAGCAUCCCUGAGACAGAGCCACUGCAGUCUCCCACCACCAAGGUCAAGCUGGAGUGCAACCCCACAGCCCGGAUCUACCGGAAACACUUUCUUGGCAAGGAACACUUCAAUUACUAUUCACUGGACACUGCGCUUGGCCACCUGGUCUUCUCCCUCAAGUAUGAUGUCAUUGGGGAUCAGGAGCACUUGCGGCUGCUGCUUAGGACCAAGUGUCGGACCUACCAUGAUGUCAUUCCCAUCUCCUGCCUCACCGAGUUCCCCAAUGUGGUCCAGAUGGCAAAGUUGGUAUGUGAAGAUGUCAACGUGGAUCGAUUCUACCCUGUGCUCUACCCCAAGGCCUCCAGGCUCAUCGUCACCUUUGACGAACAUGUUAUCAGCAAUAACUUCAAGUUUGGAGUCAUUUAUCAGAAGCUAGGGCAGACGUCUGAGGAAGAACUCUUCAGCACCAAUGAGGAGAGUCCUGCCUUCGUGGAGUUCCUUGAGUUUCUGGGCCAGAAAGUCAAAUUGCAGGACUUCAAGGGGUUCCGAGGAGGCCUGGACGUGACUCACGGGCAGACGGGGACCGAGUCCAUAUACUGCAACUUCCGCAACAAGGAGAUCAUGUUUCACGUGUCCACCAAGCUGCCAUACACAGAAGGGGACGCCCAGCAGUUGCAGCGAAAGAGACAUAUCGGGAACGACAUCGUUGCUGUGGUCUUCCAGGACGAAAACACGCCCUUCGUGCCCGACAUGAUUGCCUCCAACUUCCUGCAUGCCUAUGUGGUGGUGCAGGCAGAGGGGGGUGGCCCUGAUGGCCCCCUGUACAAGGUCUCUGUCACCGCGAGAGACGAUGUGCCCUUCUUUGGGCCUCCCCUCCCGGACCCUGCUGUGUUCAGGAAGGGGCCUGAGUUCCAGGAAUUUCUGCUGACAAAGUUGAUCAACGCCGAGUACGCUUGCUACAAAGCAGAGAAAUUUGCCAAACUGGAGGAGCGGACACGUGCUGCCCUUCUGGAGACACUCUAUGAAGAACUCCACAUCCACAGCCAGUCCAUGAUGGGCCUGGGUGGCGACGAUGAUAAGAUGGAGAACGGCAGCGGUGGGGGCGGCUUCUUCGAGUCUUUCAAGAGAGUCAUCCGGAGCCGCAGCCAGUCCAUGGAUGCCAUGGGACUGACCAACAAGAAGGCCAACACCGUGACUACUAGUCACAGUGGGAGCUUCACCCCCAACAACCCUGACCUGGCCAAGGCAGCUGGAAUAUCAUUGCUUAUUCCCGGGAAAAGCGCGAGUAGAUUCGGACGCCGGGGCAGCGCCUUAGGCAUAGGAGCCGUGGAAGAGUCCCUGAUUGUCCCUGGGAAGAGCCCCACAAGGAAGAAGUCUGGUCCUUUUGGCUCACGCCGCAGCAGUGCCAUCGGCAUUGAGAACAUCCAGGAGGUGCAGGAGAAGAGGGAGAGCCCACCAGCUGGCCAGAAGACCCCAGACAGUGGGCACGUCUCACAGGAGCCCAAGUCAGAGAACUCUUCCACGCAGAGCUCUCCAGAGAUGCCCACGACCAAGAACAGAGUGGAGACGGCCGCUCAGAGAGCAGAAGCGCUGCAGGGCUUCUCCAGGUCCUCGUCCAGUGCCAGCAGCUUUGCCAGCGUGGUGGAGGAGACGGAGGGCGUAGACGGGGAUGACACAGGCCUGGAGAGCGUGUCGUCCUCAGGAACUCCCCAUAAGCGGGACUCCUUCCUCUACAGCACAUGGCUGGACGACAGCGUGAGCACUACAAGCGGGGGCAGCUCCCCAGUGAGGUGGCUCCCUCCUGCCCCCCUUCCCAGGCCUCACACGGUCACCCCACCCAGACGCCGGCAAGUCGGGGGACCCUGCGUGUCCAGAGAUCAAGAUCCAACUGGAAACAUCUGAGCAGCACACACCCCAGAUGGGCUGCUAGCUGCCACCUCUAUCAGAAGGCAGGACUGAGCAGACGAGGCCUCAGAAGCACAAGGAGAAGAUGCUGCAACACAUCCAGGCAGCUGGCCCUCUGCCCCACAGCCUCCUCGGCCCCUGGAGCCCCUGCCUCUAAGCCCCAGGCCCACCUAUCUGGGCUGUCUCUGCAGGGCGGAGCCAUCCAGAGCUGGGAGUGGAUGCUGCUGGCAUCACCCUGCCCCCCCCCCC